GAUCCUGGCUCAGGAUGAACGCUAGCGGCAGGCUUAACACAUGCAAGUCGAGGGGCAGCGUGGGGCAGCAAUGCUCUGACGGCGACCGGCGGAAGGGUGCGUAACACGUGAGCGACUUGCCCGUCACAGGGGGAUAACCGGCGGAAACGGCGACUAAUACCCCAUAUGCUGCGAUGCUGCAUGGCAUUGCAGUGAAAGAUUCAUCGGUGGCGGAUAGG
RNAcentral lists this ribosomal RNA (218 nucleotides) under uncultured bacterium. RNAcentral describes it as "partial 16S ribosomal RNA". It matches the Rfam family "Bacterial small subunit ribosomal RNA", at positions 15 to 229 of the family's 1533-position model. The record is from RNAcentral.